GCGGCGAACGGGUGAGUAACACGUGAGUAAUCUGCCUCUGGCUUCGGGAUAGCCACCGGAAACGGUGAUUAAUACCGGAUACGACACGCUCUUGCAUGAGAUGUGUGUGGAAAGUUUUUUCGGCCAGGGAUGUGCUCGCGGCCUAUCAGCUUGUUGGUGGGGUAAUGGCCUACCAAGGCUUCGACGGGUAGCCGGCCUGAGAGGGUGACCGGCCACACUGGGACUGAGACACGGCCCAGACUCCUACGGGAGGCAGCAGUGGGGAAUAUUGGACAAUGGGCGGAAGCCUGAUCCAGCAACGCCGCGUGAGGGAUGACGGCCUUCGGGUUGUAAACCUCUUUCAGCACAGACGAAGCGCAAGUGACGGUAUGUGCAGAAGAAGGACCGGCCAACUACGUGCCAGCAGCCGCGGUAAUACGUAGGGUCCGAGCGUUGUCCGGAAUUAUUGGGCGUAAAGGGCUCGUAGGCGGUUUGUCGCGUCGGGAGUGAAAACACCGGGCUUAACUCGGUGCUUGCUUUCGAUACGGGCAGACUAGAGGCAUUCAGGGGAGAACGGAAUUCCUGGUGUAGCGGUGAAAUGCGCAGAUAUCAGGAGGAACACCGGUGGCGAAGGCGGUUCUCUGGGAAUGUCCUGACGCUGAGGAGCGAAAGU
Molecule: ribosomal RNA, 652 nt
Filed under: Nocardioides marinus
Lineage: Bacteria; Bacillati; Actinomycetota; Actinomycetes; Propionibacteriales; Nocardioidaceae
Description: bacterial SSU rRNA
Rfam family: Bacterial small subunit ribosomal RNA
Source: RNAcentral